ACGCCAAUAGCUCAAUUGGAAAGAGCAACGGAUUUCUAAUCCGUAGGUUGCAGGUUCGAUCCCUGCUUGGUGUACCA
Molecule: transfer RNA, 77 nt
Filed under: Rheinheimera soli
Lineage: Bacteria; Pseudomonadati; Pseudomonadota; Gammaproteobacteria; Chromatiales; Chromatiaceae
Description: tRNA-Arg
Rfam family: tRNA
About the family: Transfer RNA (tRNA) molecules are approximately 80 nucleotides in length. Their secondary structure includes four short double-helical elements and three loops (D, anti-codon, and T loops). Further hydrogen bonds mediate the characteristic L-shaped molecular structure. tRNAs have two regions of fundamental functional importance: the anti-codon, which is responsible for specific mRNA codon recognition, and the 3' end, to which the tRNAs corresponding amino acid is attached (by aminoacyl-tRNA synthetases). tRNAs cope with the degeneracy of the genetic code in two manners: having more than one tRNA (with a specific anti-codon) for a particular amino acid; and 'wobble' base-pairing, i.e. permitting non-standard base-pairing at the 3rd anti-codon position.
Source: RNAcentral